GAUGAACGCUGGCGGCGUGCCUAACACAUGCAAGUCGAGCGAAGCGGUUUUAAGGAAGUUUUCGGAUGGAAUUAAAACUGACUGAGCGGCGGACGGGUGAGUAACGCGUGGGUAACCUGCCUCAUACAGGGGGAUAACAGUUAGAAAUGGCUGCUAAUACCGCAUAAGCACACAGCUUCGCAUGGAGCAGUGUGAAAAACUCUGGUGGUAUGAGAUGGACCCGCGUCUGAUUAGCUAGUUGGUAAGGUAACGGCUUACCAAGGCGACGAUCAGUAGCCGACCUGAGAGGGUGACCGGCCACAUUGGGACUGAGACACGGCCCAAACUCCUACGGGAGGCAGCAGUGGGGAAUAUUGCACAAUGGGGGAAACCCUGAUGCAGCGACGCCGCGUGAGUGAAGAAGUAUCUCGGUAUGUAAAGCUCUAUCAGCAGGGAAGAAAAUGACGGUACCUGACUAAGAAG
RNAcentral lists this ribosomal RNA (462 nucleotides) under uncultured bacterium. Its description in RNAcentral is "bacterial SSU rRNA". It matches the Rfam family "Bacterial small subunit ribosomal RNA", at positions 28 to 490 of the family's 1533-position model. The record is from RNAcentral.